AGGCUACUUUAUUAUUUGGCUCACAGAAAGGAGAAAGUACCGCAUGUCCUGUUUGUAUGAUAAAAAUAAAUCUCUCUAGGCCCACCAUGUGCUCCUUUCUCUGUUUUGGUCACUGCCCCAUGGUUAGAAUUGUUUACCCAUGUAAAAAAAGGACAUUGAAAGGACUGUGAGGUACAGACAUGGUAGAUCAUGCGAGACUCAAAAUGGUGCCAAGGGCCUUUACCUCCCCAGCCUUUGCUGGGAGGGUGUCCAAGAGGGCCCCCUAAGGAACGACCCCCAGUGGGCAGCAUGUAAGAUGUCCCCCCCCCCCCGCUUGUGUUUAUCUUCCUAUCUGCCCAACUCAAAAAUAAUGAUGAAAGUAAAUAUUUGGGACCAGGUUUAUUUUGGUCAGACAAAUUCCAGCCUGCUUUCUAAAAUUAGGAAGUCUGUGGGAUGCACGUGGCUUGGGGCAUCCUGCCGGAGAAGUUUGGCUUGGAGAUAUUUGGUUCUCUUCCUUACUGAGGCUAGCUUGGGAAAACGUGCAUCUGAAGAGACCCAGGGCUGGUGUUGACAGAUGCCAGGAGAGAGAGAAAAAAUCACUUCCACGUAUCCAGCCUCCAUCCAGAACUUACCAACAGAAUCAUUUCUGUCCUACCAAGCAAAAGCUGGUAAGGCCUGACAAGAUGGCUCAGCAAGAUAAGAUGCUUGCUACAGAACCGAGAGACCACAGUUCAAGCCCCAGGACCCACAUGGAGAAAGAAAGGGGUAUGACUAGACUGGGGAGCAGAGACCGUGAGUUCCAUUAGCCACAUCAGAGGGGAAGGACCUAUGACAUCCAGAGAUGUCCAUCCCACAGGUUGGUUAAACCAGCUGAAAUGUGGGAGAGAGGUCUGGACCAAAGACCACUUAGUUAUACCAGUCAUACUUGGUCCUAAGGAGAUAUGUCUAUUUCCUACUUAGCAGCUUGGAAAUUAGAAGAGCCCAGAGCCUUCCCUUACUUCAUACAAAGGGAACCCACCAAAGCUGCAUCUCCCUACUCCAAGAAGGGGGUGGGGAACCUGUCCACGUCCACCAGCCUCCAUACUGCCCAAACUCACU
RNAcentral lists this long non-coding RNA (1077 nucleotides) under Cricetulus griseus (Chinese hamster). RNAcentral describes it as "lncRNA (ENSCGRG00000025639.1)". Lineage: Eukaryota; Metazoa; Chordata; Mammalia; Rodentia; Cricetidae. The record is from RNAcentral.